RNAcentral lists this ribosomal RNA (278 nucleotides) under Klebsiella pneumoniae. RNAcentral describes it as "partial 16S ribosomal RNA". It matches the Rfam family "Bacterial small subunit ribosomal RNA", at positions 1265 to 1533 of the family's 1533-position model. The record is from RNAcentral. Lineage: Bacteria; Pseudomonadati; Pseudomonadota; Gammaproteobacteria; Enterobacterales; Enterobacteriaceae.
AAGCGGACCUCAUAAAGUAUGUCGUAGUCCGGAUUGGAGUCUGCAACUCGACUCCAUGAAGUCGGAAUCGCUAGUAAUCGUAGAUCAGAAUGCUACGGUGAAUACGUUCCCGGGCCUUGUACACACCGCCCGUCACACCAUGGGAGUGGGUUGCAAAAGAAGUAGGUAGCUUAACCUUCGGGAGGGCGCUUACCACUUUGUGAUUCAUGACUGGGGUGAAGUCGUAACAAGGUAACCGUAGGGGAACCUGCGGUUGGAUCACUCCUUACCUUAAAGAA